UCAGCUCGUGUCGUGAGAUGUUGGGUUAAGUCCCGCAACGAGCGCAACCCUUAAGCUUAGUUGCCAUCAUUAAGUUGGGCACUCUAAGUUGACUGCCGGUGACAAACCGGAGGAAGGUGGGGAUGACGUCAAAUCAUCAUGCCCCUUAUGAUUUGGGCUACACACGUGCUACAAUGGACAAUACAAAGGGCAGCGAAACCGCGAGGUCAAGCAAAUCCCAUAAAGUUGUUCUCAGUUCGGAUUGUAGUCUGCAACUCGACUACAUGAAGCUGGAAUCGCUAGUAAUCGUAGAUCAGCAUGCUACGGUGAAUACGUUCCCGGGUCUUGUACACACCGCCCGUCACACCACGAGAGUUUGUAACACCCGAAGCCGGUGGAGUAACCUUUUAGGAGCUAGCCGUCGAAGGUGGGACAAAUGAUUGGGGUGAAGUCGUAACAAGGUAGCCGUAUCGGAAGGUGCGGCUGGAUCACCUCCUUUCUA
Molecule: ribosomal RNA, 481 nt
Filed under: Escherichia coli
Lineage: Bacteria; Pseudomonadati; Pseudomonadota; Gammaproteobacteria; Enterobacterales; Enterobacteriaceae
Description: bacterial SSU rRNA
Rfam family: Bacterial small subunit ribosomal RNA
Source: RNAcentral